AGCUAGGGGAGCGAACAGGAUUAGAGACCCUGGUAGUCCUAGCUGUAAACGCUGGGUGCUAGGUGUGGGACGUAAGAAGUUCCGUGCCGGAGCAAACGCGAUAAGCACCCCGCCUGGGAAUUACGGUCGCAAGGCUAAAACUCAAACGAAUUGACGGGGCCCCGCACAAGCAGCGGAGCGUGUGGUUCAAUUCGAUGCUUACACGAAGAACCUUACCUGGGUUUGACAUGUACGUGGUACGAAGGCGAAAGCCUAAGGACCCUUCGGGGAGCGUACACAGGUGCUGCAUGGCUGUCGUCAGCUCGUGCCGUGAGGUGUCGGGUUAAGUCCCGUAACGAGCGCAACCCUUGCCCUUAGUUACAAGUGUCUAAGGGGACUGCCGGCGGGAAGCCGGAGGAAGGUGGGGAUGACGUCAAGUCAGCAUGGCCCUUAUGUCCAGGGCUACACACACGCUACAAUGGUCAGUACAAAGGGUAGCGAAGUCGCGAGGCGGAGCGAAUCUCAACAAAGCUGAUCGUAGUUCGGAUUGCAGGCUGCAACCCGCCUGCAUGAAGCUGGAGUUGCUAGUAACCGCGCGUCAGCCAUAGUGCGGUGAAUACGUACCCGGGGCUUGUACACACCGCCCGUCACGUCAUGGGAGUCGGUAACGCCUGAAGCCGGUGGUCUGGCCCGCAAGGGGGGACGCUGUCGAA
This 692-nucleotide ribosomal RNA is filed under the name uncultured organism. Its description in RNAcentral is "bacterial SSU rRNA". It matches the Rfam family "Bacterial small subunit ribosomal RNA", at positions 758 to 1460 of the family's 1533-position model. The record is from RNAcentral.